AUUGAUUUUAUGCUUGCAUAAAUGAUUUUUGGAUUCGGAGCGAGUGGCGAACUGGUGAGUAACACGUGGGUAACCUGCCCCGAAGCGGGGGAUAACAUUUGGAAACAAGUGCUAACACCGCAUAAUUAGUUGGAACCGCAUGGUUCCAACUUGAAAGAUGGCUCUGCUAUCACUUUGGGAUGGACCCGCGCCGUAUUAGUUAGUUGGUGAGAUAAAAGCCCACCAAGACGAUGAUACGUAGCCGACCUGAGAGGGUAAUCGGCCACAUUGGGACUGAGACACGGCCCAGACUCCUACGGGAGGCAGCAGUAGGGAAUCUUCCACAAUGGACGAAAGUCUGAUGGAGCAACGCCGCGUGAGUGAUGAAGGUUUUCGGAUCGUAAAACUCUGUUGUUAAAGAAGAACAAGUGUUAGAGUAACUGUUAACACUUUGACGGUAUUUAACCAGAAAGCCACGGCUAACUACGUGCCAGCAGCCGCGGUAAUACGUAGGUGGCAAGCGUUGUCCGGAUUUAUUGGGCGUAAAGCGAGCGCAGGCGGUUUUGUAAGUCUGCUGUGAAAGCCCUCAGCUCAACUGAGGAAGUGCAGUGGAAACUACAAAACUUGAGUACAGAAGAGGAAAGUGGAACUCCAUGUGUAGCGGUGAAGUGCGUAGAUAUAUGGAAGAACACCAGUGGCGAAGGCGGCUUUCUGGUCUGUUACUGACGCUGAGGCUCGAAAGCAUGGGUAGCGAACAGGAUUAGAUACCCUGGUAGUCCAUGCCGUAAACGAUGAAUACUAGGUGUUGGAGGGUUUCCGCCCUUCAGUGCCGCAGCUAACGCAUUAAGUAUUCCGCCUGGGGAGUACGACCGCAAGGUUGAAACUCAAAGGAAUUGACGGGGGCCCGCACAAGUGGUGGAGCAUGUGGUUUAAUUCGAUGCUACGCGAAGAACCUUACCAGCUCUUGACAUCUUCUGCCAACCCAAGAGAUUGGGCGUUCCCUUCGGGGACAGAAUGACAGGUGGUGCAUGGUUGUCGUCAGCUCGUGUCGUGAGAUGUUGGGUUAAGUCCCGCAACGAGCGCAACCCUUAUUAUUAGUUGCCAGCAUUUAGUUGGGCACUCUAGUGAGACUGCCGGUGAUAAA
This 1123-nucleotide ribosomal RNA is filed under the name uncultured bacterium. RNAcentral describes it as "bacterial SSU rRNA". It matches the Rfam family "Bacterial small subunit ribosomal RNA", at positions 47 to 1162 of the family's 1533-position model. The record is from RNAcentral.